GAUGAACGCUGGCGGCGUGCCUAAUACAUGCAAGUCGAGCGAACAGACGAGGAGCUUGCUCCUCUGACGUUAGCGGCGGACGGGUGAGUAACACGUGGAUAACCUACCUAUAAGACUGGGAUAACUUCGGGAAACCGGAGCUAAUACCGGAUAAUAUAUUGAACCGCAUGGUUCAAUAGUGAAAGACGGUUUUGCUGUCACUUAUAGAUGGAUCCGCGCCGCAUUAGCUAGUUGGUAAGGUAACGGCUUACCAAGGCAACGAUGCGUAGCCGACCUGAGAGGGUGAACCGCCCACACGGAACCGGAGCACCGUCCAAACUCCUAAGGGAGGGAGCAGGUGGGAAAUUUUCGCAAUGGGGGGAAGCCUGACGGAGCAACGCCGCGUGAGUGAUGAAGGUCUUCGGAUCGUAAAACUCUGUUAUUAGGGAAGAACAAAUGUGUAAGUAACUAUGCACGUCUUGACGGUACCUAAUCAGAAAGCCACGGCUAACUACGUG
RNAcentral lists this ribosomal RNA (497 nucleotides) under uncultured bacterium. Its description in RNAcentral is "partial 16S ribosomal RNA". It matches the Rfam family "Bacterial small subunit ribosomal RNA", at positions 28 to 507 of the family's 1533-position model. The record is from RNAcentral.